AUGGCUCCCACCUCCAGCUCCUUUAAAACUAGCCUUAUCUCUCACUACCCAACCGCCGAGGGCCUUCUUCUUGGAGCCUUCAGGCACCGCCCAAUCGCCGGUCCCCGUCUUCCGGGGUGGUGAGAAACUAAGUGAAGCCUCCUGGCAGCCAUCUUUCCUAGGGGCAAGAAGCCAAAUUGGGCAGCGCCGCCAUUAUAGUUGAGGGCUAGCGCUAUCCAAGAUGAACCCAAGUGGACCGGAUUGCGUCAUCUUCUGAAGGCCGGUCAGUGGUCGAAAACUAUGCCAAGUUUCUUGAGCUAUUGAGGUAACUGUAGUGAAGCUAGAGUGUCGCCACGUUUUUUAAGGGCACCUUCCGGUUCUUUCGUUCUUAAACAUGAGUGCUAACGAAUGUGAAAUUCCGUUUCCUAGAGAGAUCCCACUGAGGCCGGUUCCAGUACCUCCUGGGUGCCUCAGCCCAGUUCUCACGUCGCCGAGAAGAGUUUGGGAGGGGGCGGCGGGGACCAGAGACUAGGGCUAGUGCCGCCUCCAGCAUCGUUGCUUGCUCAGUCCUGGAGAGACUGGGCGGAGCCAAAGUGAGGAGGAGGCUGGGGGCGUUGAGCUUCACUUCGACUUCACCCAAGUGUCGUGCGCCUCAUCCUGGAGGGUUGGCGGUGUUCUGCGGCCUGCCAGAGGGCUCAGUAUAGGAGUGUCAAAGAGGGAGGGCAGUAACGACCUUGGCAUGCUUGUUGAAGUCCGGCCACUUUCUUCUCUAUUCCGGGCUCCCACAACCCCUCUUUGAAGAGUGGCCUGCCCCCUUAGUAGUGAGGGCAUUGGAAAGGCUGCGUCAUGAAUUCUUUACCAGGGGCUAGGCUGUUCGUGGGGAGGACGUGGGCACAUACUUAUUGCACUGUGAAGGCACCCUCACCGGCUAACCAAAACCCGUGCCUCCACUAGUUCUCCUUCCCCAGGAUUCCCUGAGCUGUUUUCUUGAUAGAAUAAAAAAUCCUGAAGCCUAGAAUCUUGGGUCUGAGAUGAAGGUGCAGAGUCAUCUACCCAGCCCAGCAUAAUUCCUUCUUAAAGGAGUGAGUGAUAAUUAGACACAGAAAGGAUAAGGAAGGAGAAGAAUUAGCAAGAGCUGAUGUGAAAAGUGAGGACUCCCCAACUCUGUAACCAAGGACUCAUCCAGAUAGUUCUUCCAUGACUACACUGACUGUCUUUGUACUGUGAGGCCUGCUGGGUCCUCUGGAAAUACAUAAUGAGACUACUGGUGGAAAGCUCUUAGAGCUGGAGAUGUCUCUCUUCCCCUAUAUCAGGACUGGUUGUAUGGUGCCUGAGUUACUGGAGAACAAGGGGGUGGGGAACUGGUAUGGUGGUGCUUCCAGCUGUCAGUGCUUGGAGGCCCUCUGGAGGCUCUCACUUUCCUCCUCAAACACACAGGUGCUUCCCACCAAGAAAAGCUUUCAAGAGCAGAACAUGCCUUAUCUGAAUUUUGCUUCUCUAGGACUGCUGAAGAAGUCAAUACCUAGGGCAAAGGAAGUAGCCUGAAGAAAGGGCCUAGACCUGAGAAUCUGGUAGGGAGAGCCUAGCCCUACUAGCCUAACCUGGAGAGCUGGAGUUCAUCAAAUUGAAGUCUUUGUCCUCAGCCCAGGCCAGCAAGGCAAGCCCUCAUAGUCUCACGGUCUUGCCUCUGCCCUCAUUGUGACUACCAUUUCAAUAACUCCUAUCUUACCUACUGCCUAUGAACAGACUCUAGGGCAUGACCAGUGUAUGCUGAUCAAGUGGCAAGAGGCUCCACAGACUCCAGUGGGGCAGGUGAUGUAGUUGGAGAUUGGUACAACAUUCUUCAGAAAACGGCCCUUUGACUCUGGGUCUCUCAACUGCUUAACGGUUCUUGGCGUUAGUGGUCUCAUUUGUAAAAUGGAAACAACAAAUGCCAUUGUGUCUUUCAAAAUAGAAGAUCAAGAUGAAGUGAGAAGAUAUAUCUGAAUGUGUCUGAUAAAUAUGAAAAGACAGGAAUAGCAACUGGGGUACUGGUCCAGCCAGUAGGACCCAGACACCAACCGGUUGCUUUCCUGUCAAAACAACUGGAUCCCACCGCCAAGGGGUGGCAACCCUGCCUUAGAGCCCUGGCAGCAACAGCGUGCCUCGCCAAAGAAGCUCUGAAACUAACCCUCCUACAGGCGGUUGGAUCGAGGCCUUUCCUAACUGCCAAGAGACUGCGUCAGUGGUGGCAAAGACGUUGGUGGAACACAUCAUCCUUCGUUUUGGCCUCCCAACGUUGCUCCAGUCAGACAACAGACAGGCUUUCAUCUCAAAGGUCACAUAACUGGUGACUGACUCUCUAAAUAUCUCCUGGAAACUACAAAUACCCUAUCACCCUCAAUCCUCGGGUAAGGUGGAAAGGGCCAAUGGCCUUCUCAAGGAUCAACUUACCAAACUCUCCUUAGAGGUAAAGACCUCUUGGCCAGAUCUAUUCCCAAUUGCUCUCACCCAAUUGCGAGCAGCCCCUAAGGGGGCCCACUGGACUAAGUGCCUUUGAGUUAAUGUAUGGUUGACCCUUCCUUCUAAACACAGGCCUGCCUACAACUCCACCCCCUCUAGCCUCCUACCUACCUUACUUCUCACUCCUAAGACAUCUCAGGGAACACGCAGACCAGUUCCUGCCUCAACCCACCUCCCCCUCAGAUCCAGGAAUCAAGGAGGUUCUACAGCUGGGAGACAAAGUCCUUCUUAAAGAACUUCAACCUCCGUCACUCCGCCCACGGUGGAUGGGACCAUACACGGUGAUCCUUACCACUCCCACUGUCAGUCCCCUCCAUUCCUCUAAGCCGCAGACAAGGGAGAAGACACGAUGAGUUGUCGAAGACCUGAAAGGACCAGCCAGGGGGCUCAAGGUGUAACAGCUCAAGAGCAAUGCUGAGAAAGCAUUUCUCAUAUUUAUUGAAUAAAUGAACUUACAAUGAACUCAAA
Molecule: long non-coding RNA, 2949 nt
Organism: Manis javanica (Malayan pangolin)
Lineage: Eukaryota; Metazoa; Chordata; Mammalia; Pholidota; Manidae
Source: RefSeq, a predicted model, not a curated record